This 477-nucleotide ribosomal RNA is filed under the name uncultured bacterium. RNAcentral's name for it is "partial 16S ribosomal RNA". It matches the Rfam family "Bacterial small subunit ribosomal RNA", at positions 30 to 507 of the family's 1533-position model. The record is from RNAcentral.
AUUGAACGCUGGCGGCAUGCCUUACACAUGCAAGUCGAACGGUAACAGGUUAAGCUGACGCGUGGCGAACGGGUGAGUAAUACAUCGGAACGUGCCCAGUAGUGGGGGAUAGCCCGGCGAAAGCCGGAUUAAUACCGCAUACGACCUAAGGGUGAAAGGGGGGGAUCGCAAGACCUCUCGCGAUUGGAGCGGCCGAUGUCAGAUUAGCUAGUUGGUGGGGUAAAAGCUCACCAAGGCGACGAUCUGUAGCUGGUCUGAGAGGACGACCAGCCACACUGGGACUGAGACACGGCCCAGACUCCUACGGGAGGCAGCAGUGGGGAAUUUUGGACGAUGGGCGCAAGCCUGAUCCAGCCAUGCCGCGUGCGGGAAGAAGGCCUUCGGGUUGUAAACCGCUUUUGUCAGGGAAGAAAUCCUUUGGGUUAAUACCUCGGGGGGAUGACGGUACCUGAAGAAUAAGCACCGGCUAACUACGUG